GUGAGAAUCCAGCAGCACAUAUAUUAAAAUUUGAAUACUAUAGACAUCAGCAUGAACCAUGCUCAAGGAUGACAUGCAAACUUGUGAAACUUUCCUUUUUUCC
Small nuclear RNA from Trichosurus vulpecula (common brushtail), 103 nucleotides. The record is from RefSeq and is a predicted model, not a curated record. Lineage: Eukaryota; Metazoa; Chordata; Mammalia; Diprotodontia; Phalangeridae.